This 356-nucleotide long non-coding RNA is filed under the name Trifolium pratense (red clover). RNAcentral's name for it is "long non-coding RNA (TPRA_LNC002202)". Lineage: Eukaryota; Viridiplantae; Streptophyta; Magnoliopsida; Fabales; Fabaceae. The record is from RNAcentral.
UUACAAUGAUACAAUAGAGUAUACUAAGCCAAGAAAUUCAGUUACACUAAAACACGCAUCAAAAUAUUGAUUGAGACUUUGAGAAUAUGCCCACAUCACUUAAUUUUCUCCCUAUAGCUAGCUUAAUACAGAGUACUGUAUUAGUAUUCAGUGAUACUUUUAUUUAAUAUUGUCUUUAUUCCUAUAGCUCUAUGACACUCCACUCGUAUUAUCGUGUAUAGAUGUAACUAAUUAUCUAAAAGUAUAUUAUUUACAUCCAUAAGAAAUGAUGAACGAGUAGAAUGUCUAAAGUAUUGGUACGGGAGUUCUUCUGCAACCAAUAAGUAGAAAAGCCCCAUUACUCCGGUGUGUUCUUU